This is a non-coding RNA of Podarcis lilfordi (Lilford's wall lizard), 72 nucleotides long. The record is from the annotation of a GenBank genome assembly. Lineage: Eukaryota; Metazoa; Chordata; Lepidosauria; Squamata; Lacertidae.
UUAAUAGUUCAUUUGGUAGAGCAUGAGACUUUAACCUCAAGGUUGUGGGUUUGAGCCCCACACUGGGCAAAA